RNAcentral lists this long non-coding RNA (248 nucleotides) under Setaria italica (foxtail millet). RNAcentral's name for it is "long non-coding RNA (SITA_LNC003946)". Lineage: Eukaryota; Viridiplantae; Streptophyta; Magnoliopsida; Poales; Poaceae. The record is from RNAcentral.
AAGUAACCAUUUGUCGAUUUACGCAAUACUCUCAAGUAGUUUCACCAAGCGAAGGUCACGUUCCUUUCCCAUCGACAAGAACUUUUAGUUCUGCCACCUUUGAUUGUCUUAUUUAAUUUUGUAAAGAGCAAGAAAGCACUCAUUUUUAAUCGCUUUUCCCCUUUCAUUCUUCUCUCGGAGUUUCAUUUGUAGAUGAGAACUCGACGUUUGGCUCUAGUAGCAGUACUUGCAUGUGGUGAUGCCGAAAC